AGACGUAGGGGGCGAGCGUUGUCCGGAAUUACUGGGCGUAAAGAGCACGUAGGCGGAUAUUUAAGUCAGUUGUGAAGGACCGCGGCUCAACCGCGGGGUUGCAAUUGAAACUGGGUAUCUUGAGGGCAGGAGAGGUCAGUGGAAUUCCUGGUGUGGCGGUGAAAUGCGUAGAAAUCAGGAGGAACACCAGUGGCGAAGGCGGCUGACUGGACUGGCCCUGACGCUGAGGUGCGAAAGCGUGGGUAGCAAACAGGAUUAGAUACCCUGGUAGUCCACGCCGUAAACGAUGGAUACUAGGUGUGGGAGGUAUCGACCCCUUCCGUGCCGCAGCUAACGCAAUAAGUAUCCCGCCUGGGGAGUACGGUCGCAAGGCUGAA
This 377-nucleotide ribosomal RNA is filed under the name uncultured bacterium. Its description in RNAcentral is "bacterial SSU rRNA". It matches the Rfam family "Bacterial small subunit ribosomal RNA", at positions 523 to 898 of the family's 1533-position model. The record is from RNAcentral.